GAAUAUUGCGCAAUGGAGGAAACUCUGACGCAGCAACGCCGCGUGCAGGAAGAAGGCCCUUUGGGUCGUAAACUGCUGUAGCAGGGGAAUAACGGUCUCCCACGGGGAGACAUGAAGGUACCCCGAAAGUAAGCGCCGGCUAACUACUUGCCAGCAGCCGCGGUAAUACGUAGGGCGCAAGCGUUGUCCGGAUUCACUGGGUGUAAAGGGUGCGUAGGCGGGAGAGUAAGUCAGUGGUGAAAUCUCACGGCUCAACCGUGAAACUGCCGUUGAUACUGCUUUUCUUGAGUUCGGGAGAGGUUGAUGGAAUUCCAGGUGUAGCGGUGAAAUGCGUAGAUAUCUGGAAGAACACCAGUGGCGAAGGCGGUCAACUGGCCCGAAACUGACGCUGAGGCACGAAAGCGUGGGGAGCGAACAGG
This 419-nucleotide ribosomal RNA is filed under the name uncultured bacterium. RNAcentral's name for it is "bacterial SSU rRNA". It matches the Rfam family "Bacterial small subunit ribosomal RNA", at positions 359 to 776 of the family's 1533-position model. The record is from RNAcentral.